Coregonus clupeaformis (lake whitefish) is the source of this 976-nucleotide long non-coding RNA. RefSeq lists it as uncharacterized. The transcript is spliced from 3 exons. The record is from RefSeq and is a predicted model, not a curated record. NCBI's taxonomy places the organism in Eukaryota, Metazoa, Chordata, Actinopteri, Salmoniformes, Salmonidae.
UAGAAAGUGUUAUAGUAUGUGAACUUUCGAAAAAUCGAGUAUGCUUUAAAUGCCAGGAUGUUAUACUCAUUUCGGCCUUUCAUCUAGUAGAGUUUGCUGCACACUUUUCAGGAAUUUCACAGCCACAAUGCAUUGGAAGAGGGGGCUGCGAGUAAAAAACAAAACAACUUGGAAGAUGGCAAGUAGCUAAGCUUCUACGGUGGUGUUCAAAAAUAAGAUCUACGUAAAGGAGUGUGAGCUGGAGGGGCAGGUGUCACCUGCAUGGGUGAAAAAUAAGUAGGAGAACCAUAAGCAAAAAUAGACUGUAUACUGUAUGUUAUCUUUACAUUUAUUAAUGUGCUGUACUUGGCUAAUAAAAUUCCCCUUUUCUCUGAGCGCAACAACACUUUCCCAUCUAUAUAUUUCCUAUGCUUCACUGGCACAUUCAUGAGUUGAAAUUGCCCCCCGCUGGAGUCAGCACGGAGGGAGGCCACUGCCGCAUACAACAAGUGGUAUGUGGUAAUAGAUCAGGUGCUGCAGGGGAUGUUACCACUCCAUCACCCCACCUCCAUCACCACACUGGUCAUCAUCUCCUCCUCUCCCUCCCAGAAGGGUCCAGAUGUGGAGGCAUGAGAAGGAGGUGACUGCCAGGGAGGCACACCUUAUAGCCAUUUUAGAGGCCAUGAUUAAGAAGUAGUUUUAUGUAUUUUGUAUGUAUUUUAUUUAUAGCUAUUCAUUUUCAGUACUUUUUUAAAACCCAAAGUGGAUUUCAUUUUUCUCAUUAAAAAGUGUUUCUUGUUCUCAAUAAACCUUUUUAUUUAAUACCGGUACAUUUAAUACUGUUGGUGUGUUUUACAUGAAACAUUUCAACAUAAUAAAUGCACUCGCUCAUCGGAGCUAUCUUGUUGCAGGUGCAUGAUAACAUUACAUAAGUUGAAAGAAAAAAGAAACCCUGUAAACUGCUCUUGCUAGAAUAACUUUUUUAUUGAAGCUUGCA